GACGAACGCUGGCGGCGUGCUUAACACAUGCAAGUCGUACGGUAAGGCCCUUUCGGGGGUACACGAGUGGCGAACGGGUGAGUAACACGUGAGUAACCUGCCCACAACUUUGGGAUAACGCUAGGAAACUGGUGCUAAUACUGGAUAUGUGCUCCUGCUGCAUGGUGGGGGUUGGAAAGCUCCGGCGGUUGUGGAUGGACUCGCGGCCUAUCAGCUUGUUGGUGGGGUAGUGGCCUACCAAGGCGGCGACGGGUAGCCGGCCUGAGAGGGUGACCGGCCACAUUGGGACUGAGAUACGGCCCAGACUCCUACGGGAGGCAGCAGUGGGGAAUAUUGCACAAUGGGCGCAAGCCUGAUGCAGCAACGCCGCGGGCGGGAUGACGGCCUUCGGGUUGUAAACCGCAUUCAGCAGGGACGAAGCUUUUUGUGACGGUACCUGCAGAAGAAGCACCGGCUAACUACGUG
RNAcentral lists this ribosomal RNA (465 nucleotides) under uncultured bacterium. RNAcentral's name for it is "partial 16S ribosomal RNA". It matches the Rfam family "Bacterial small subunit ribosomal RNA", at positions 28 to 507 of the family's 1533-position model. The record is from RNAcentral.